CUUUCCUGUCUGCCUUCACACGCUGUGUUUAUCUACUUACUUAUGGAAAUCCAGGCCUUCUUAGUAGGCAGAGCAGAGAAACAGCUUCUUGUCUCUCUGGGAAACUGCACAAAUCAUUCCAUUCAGGCACAAGCCUCCAUCGGGCUGCUGAAGUCUAACUAAGAUGUCUUUAACCCUUCCUCCACCCAGCCCUGUCAUCUGAGUCAGCUCUCAGAAACAAGAGACGCUCAGAGAACAAAGAGGUUCCCAGAGGAGGGAUUUUGUUGCAAGCUACAAGAGCAGGAGAGGAGGAAGCAGCCGCAGAGCCAGAAAUUGGAAGAAGGAGCCCGUGAAGGUCGUGCGUGGCGGUAAAGCCGUGGAGGACUUCUUGUGUGCACACACCUACUUGCCUCAGGACGUGAGUUGGUUCUUCUUUACACAGAAUCCUGAAAUGCAGACCCUGAGCCGGAGGCUGAGGCUCCUGCCUGACGGGCCGGCCCUCGCUGAGGUGGCUUGUCAGCACCCGUGUCUGGGGGUCCCCGUGCACAUCCCCACCAACACUUGCGACUAUGGUUUUUUACACUUUUUUCCUAAUAUAAGAGGGAAGAAAAAUCUCAAGUUUGUACUGGACAAUCUUUUAAAGUUUUUUGGCAA
Molecule: long non-coding RNA, 633 nt
Filed under: Ictidomys tridecemlineatus (thirteen-lined ground squirrel)
Lineage: Eukaryota; Metazoa; Chordata; Mammalia; Rodentia; Sciuridae
Description: lncRNA (ENSSTOG00000031999.1)
Source: RNAcentral